Long non-coding RNA from Ictalurus punctatus (channel catfish), 1525 nucleotides. Lineage: Eukaryota; Metazoa; Chordata; Actinopteri; Siluriformes; Ictaluridae. The record is from Ensembl.
GAGGUAUUAGAGGAACGCUACAGAUGCCAGACUUGGACAUGGUGGAAAAAUUUCCUAGAUGCUUCUGACAUUGCAUCCUCCAUCCAUCAUUUGGUUAUAAGGAGCUUCUGUGCUAUAUGAUCUCAGCUUCAGAAUACAUCAUUUAGUCUGAGCUGCCUGCUCGUCUACAAGCAUGCAUUUUAAGAAUUGGUACAUCUUUAUACAGUGUAAUACAAUAUCCCAAUUUGUUACACCAAUUUAUUUACUUUCAUCAUUAGCAGCAUUAAAGCUAGAAUAUUUAUUUGUAGCCUGUAGGCUGUUCACUGAAGUGUGGUUUGAUGUAUUAUUUGCAAAUAGAACAGAAUAAAAAUGUCAUAAAAUGAAAUAAUUAAAAAAAAAACAGAGUAAAAAGUAUUUCAGUGUACUGAAAUAGCUGGCUUUUUUAAUUACUGGUUGGCUAGUAAAAAUGAGUAGUUAUGCCACCCCUGCUGCAUACCAGAGAAGAUGUUUUUGAGUUUGUAUAUGGAAAUGUGGAUGAACACAGGCAUGGGAGCACCCUGCGACAUAAAGCAUGCACUACUUCACCUUCAACAAACCUGUGCAUUUGCAUGAAAGUGGUGAGUGACAGUAUCUAAACAUCCCAUUUUACCAAAAGUCUCUAUGCCUAUGAAUCCCCCUGAUCUACUUUUACAUUUACGGCAGUUGGCAGACAACCUUAUCCAGAGUAACUUACAUUUAUCUUGUUUAUACUGCUGAGCAGUUGAGGGUUAAGGGCCUUGCUCAGAGGCCAGCAGUGGUAGCGUGGCGGUGCUAGGAUUUGAGCUUACAACCUUUUGAUCGGUAGUCCAACAUCUUAUCCACUGAGUUACCAAUGCCCCAUUCCGCACCUUUACCCAAGAGAAAAGCAGUUUAACAAAAUGUAUGGCUAAACAAAAAGGCUUUCAACCUAGAAUUAAAGGUUGAAACUGUGUCUGAGUCCUAAAUACUAACUGAAAUCUAUUCUAUAGAAUGGGCGGAUUUGUAAGAAUAAACUCUGCCCCUGCUGUAUUCUACAUUAUUUUAGGUACUGAUAAAGAUCCUGCACCUUUUGAUUGAAGCAGGCAGAUCACAGAAGGUAUUGUGGUGCGAGACCAUUCACUGCUUCAUGAGUCAUGUUUUAUAAUCAGCCUGAAAUAUUACUGCCAGUGUAAUGUGGAUAAAAUAGACGUAAUAUGAGCAAACUGUCUGGUGAUAAUCCAUUGUGUAACAGCUUUCCUGCACAACAUUGUUCUGUGUCUUUAUUGUUUGGUGUACAUUGUUCUGUGUAUUUAUUGUUUGGUGUACAUUGUUCUGUGUCUUUAUUGCUUGGUGUAUAUUGUUCUGUGUCUUUAUUGUUUGGUGUAUAUUGUUCUGUGUAUUUAUUGUUUGGUGUACAUUGUUCUGUGUAUUUAUUGUUUGGUGUAUAUUGUUCUGUGUAUUUAUUGUUUGGUGUAUAUUGUUCUUGUGUCUUUAUUGUUUGGUGUAUAUUUGUUCUUUGUCUUAUUGUUUGGUGUAUAUUGUUCUGUGU